GGACUACUGGGGUUUCUAAUCCCGUUCGCUCCCCUAGCUUUCGCACCUGAGCGUCAGGAGCCACCCAGAACACUGCCUUCGCCUUUGGUAUUCCUCCGGAUAUCUACGCAUUUCACCACUACACCCGGAAUUCUGUGUUCCUCUUUGGCCCUCAAGGGCGGCAGUCUUUGGGACACUCGACCGGUUGAGCCGACCGCUGUCACCCCAAACUUACCGCUCCGCCUGCGUGCGCUUUACGCCCAAUAAAUCCGGACAACGCUUGCCCCCUACGUAUUACCGCGGCUGCUGGCAC
Molecule: ribosomal RNA, 292 nt
Filed under: uncultured bacterium
Lineage: Bacteria
Description: partial 16S ribosomal RNA
Source: RNAcentral